This 253-nucleotide ribosomal RNA is filed under the name uncultured bacterium. RNAcentral describes it as "partial 16S ribosomal RNA". It matches the Rfam family "Bacterial small subunit ribosomal RNA", at positions 524 to 776 of the family's 1533-position model. The record is from RNAcentral.
UACAGAGGGGGCAAGCGUUGUUCGGAAUUACUGGGCGUAAAGGGCGCGUAGGCGGCCUUCUAAGUCGAACGUGAAAUCCCCGGGCUCAACCCGGGAACUGCGUCCGAGACUGGAAGGCUCGAAUCCGGGAGAGGGAUGUGGAAUUCCAGGCGUAGCGGUGAAAUGCGUAGAUAUCUGGAGGAACAUCGGUGGCGAAGGCGGCAUCCUGGACCGGUAUUGACGCUGAGGCGCGAAAGCCAGGGGAGCAAACGGG